RNAcentral lists this ribosomal RNA (779 nucleotides) under uncultured bacterium. Its description in RNAcentral is "bacterial SSU rRNA". It matches the Rfam family "Bacterial small subunit ribosomal RNA", at positions 39 to 834 of the family's 1533-position model. The record is from RNAcentral.
GGGGCGUGCUACACAUGCAGUCGAACGAUGAAAGCCGGAGCUUGCUCUGGCUGGAUUAGUGGCGAACGGGUGAGUAACACGUGAGCAAUCUGCCCUGGACUCUGGGAUAACCCCGAGAAAUCGGAGCUAAUACCGGAUACGACACCUCCCGGCAUCGGGUGGGUGUGGAAAGAAUUUCGGUCCAGGAUGAGCUCGCGGCCUAUCAGCUUGUUGGUGAGGUAACGGCUCACCAAGGCGACGACGGGUAGCCGGCCUGAGAGGGUGACCGGCCACACUGGGACUGAGACACGGCCCAGACUCCUACGGGAGGCAGCAGUGGGGGAUCUUGCGCAAUGGGCGAAAGCCUGACGCAGCAACGCCGCGUGCGAGAGGAAGGCCUUCGGGUUGUAAAUCGCUUUCGGCAGGGACGAAAUUGACGGUACCUGCAGAAGAAGCCCCGGCCAACUACGUGCCAGCAGCCGCGGUAACACGUAGGGGGCGAGCGUUGUCCGGAUUUAUUGGGCGUAAAGAGCUCGUAGGCGGCUCAGUAAGUCUGCUGUUAAAGCUCCAGGCUCAACCUGGAGAGGCCAGUGGAUACUGCUGUGGCUAGAGUCCGGUAGGGGAGCGUGGAAUUCCCAGUGUAGCGGUGGAAUGCGCAGAUAUUGGGAGGAACACCAGCGGCGAAGGCGGCGCUCUGGACCGGAACUGACGCUGAGGAGCGAAAGCGUGGGUAGCAAACAGGAUUAGAUACCCUGGUAGUCCACGCCGUAAACGUUGGGCACUAGGUGUGGGAUCCCGUC